AGUGAACGCUGGCGGUAGGCCUAACACAUGCGAGUCGAACGGCAGCACAGUAAGAGCUUGCUCUUACGGGUGGCGAGUGGCGGACGGGUGAGGAAUACAUCGGAAUCUACUUUUUCGUGGGGGAUAACGUAGGGAAACUUACGCUAAUACCGCAUACGACCUACGGGUGAAAGCAGUGGAUCUUCGGACCUUGCGCGAUUGAAUGAGCCGAUGUCGGAUUAGCUAGUUGGCGGGGUAAAGGCCCACCAAGGCGACGAUCCGUAGCUGGUCUGAGAGGAUGAUCAGCCACACUGGAACUGAGACACGGUCCAGACUCCUACGGGAGGCAGCAGUGGGGAAUAUUGGACAAUGGGCGCAAGCCUGAUCCAGCCAUACCGCGUGGGUGAAGAAGGCCUUCGGGUUGUAAAGCCCUUUUGUUGGGAAAGAAAAGCAGCAGGUUAAUACCCCGCUGUUCUGACGGUACCCAAAGAAUAAGCACCGGCUAACUUCGUG
Molecule: ribosomal RNA, 492 nt
Filed under: uncultured bacterium
Lineage: Bacteria
Description: partial 16S ribosomal RNA
Rfam family: Bacterial small subunit ribosomal RNA
Source: RNAcentral